Molecule: ribosomal RNA, 475 nt
Filed under: uncultured bacterium
Lineage: Bacteria
Description: bacterial SSU rRNA
Rfam family: Bacterial small subunit ribosomal RNA
Source: RNAcentral
GAUGAACGCUAGCUACAGGCUUAACACAUGCAAGUCGAGGGGCAGCAUGACCUAGCAAUAGGUUGAUGGCGACCGGCGCACGGGUGAGUAACACGUAUCCAACCUACCGGUUAUUCCGGGAUAGCCUUUCGAAAGAAAGAUUAAUACCGGAUAGUAUAACGAGAAGGCAUCUUCUUGUUAUUAAAGAAUUUCGAUAACCGAUGGGGAUGCGUUCCAUUAGUUUGUUGGCGGGGUAACGGCCCACCAAGACAUCGAUGGAUAGGGGUUCUGAGAGGAAGGUCCCCCACAUUGGAACUGAGACACGGUCCAAACUCCUACGGGAGGCAGCAGUGAGGAAUAUUGGUCAAUGGACGAGAGUCUGAACCAGCCAAGUAGCGUGAAGGAUGACUGCCCUAUGGGUUGUAAACUUCUUUUAUAUGGGAAUAAAGUGAGCCACGUGUGGCUUUUUGUAUGUACCAUACGAAUAAGGAUCGGC